GACGAACGCUGGCGGCGUGCUUAACACAUGCAAGUCGAACGGAAAGGCCCUGCUUUCGGGGUGCUCGCGUGGCGAACGGGUGAGUAACACGUGGGUGAUCUGCCCCUUACUUUGGGAUAAGCCUGGGAAACUGGGUCUAAUACUGGAUAGAAGCAUGCUUGAGGCGGUGUGGUGGAAAGAUUAUUUUCGGUAAGGGGGGAGCUCGCGGCCUAUCAGCUGGUUGGUGGGGUAAUGGCGGACCAAGGCGUCUACGGGUAGACGGCCUGAGAGGGUGGACGGCGACAUGGGGACUGCGAUAAGGCGCAGCAGACGACGAGAGGCAGCAGUGGGGGAUAGUGUGAAAGGGGGGCAAGACUGAUGUAGCGACGCCGCGUGGGGGAUGAAGGCCUUCGGGUUGUGAACACCUUCUAGCCAUGAAGAAGACCUUGUGGUGACGGUAGUGGUAGAAGAAGCACCGGCUAACUACGUG
RNAcentral lists this ribosomal RNA (469 nucleotides) under uncultured bacterium. Its description in RNAcentral is "partial 16S ribosomal RNA". It matches the Rfam family "Bacterial small subunit ribosomal RNA", at positions 28 to 507 of the family's 1533-position model. The record is from RNAcentral.